UACGGAGGGUGCAAGCGUUAUCCGGAUUUACUGGGUUUAAAGGGUGUGUAGGCGGACUUUUAAGUCCGUGGUGAAAUCUCCGGGCUUAACCCGGAAACUGCCAUUGAUACUAUAGAUCUUGAAUAUCCUGGAGGUGAGCGGAAUAUGUCAUGUAGCGGUGAAAUGCUUAGAUAUGACAUAGAACACCAAUUGCGAAGGCAGCUCACUACGGGAUCAUUGACACUGAGGCACGAAAGCGUGGGGAUCAAACAGG
This 253-nucleotide ribosomal RNA is filed under the name uncultured bacterium. Its description in RNAcentral is "partial 16S ribosomal RNA". It matches the Rfam family "Bacterial small subunit ribosomal RNA", at positions 524 to 776 of the family's 1533-position model. The record is from RNAcentral.